RNAcentral lists this ribosomal RNA (603 nucleotides) under uncultured fungus. Its description in RNAcentral is "eukaryotic LSU rRNA". It matches the Rfam family "Eukaryotic large subunit ribosomal RNA", at positions 23 to 641 of the family's 3401-position model. Lineage: Eukaryota; Fungi. The record is from RNAcentral.
ACCCGCUGAACUUAAGCAUAUCAAUAAGCGGAGGAAAAGAAACCAACAGGGAUUGCCCUAGUAACGGCGAGUGAAGCGGCAACAGCUCAAAUUUGAAAUCUGGCGUCUUUGGCGUCCGAGUUGUAAUUUGCAGAGGGCGCUUUGGCAUUGGCAGCGGUCCAAGUUCCUUGGAACAGGACGUCACAGAGGGUGAGAAUCCCGUACGUGGUCGCUAGCCUUUACCGUGUAAAGCCCCUUCGACGAGUCGAGUUGUUUGGGAAUGCAGCUCUAAAUGGGAGGUAAAUUUCUUCUAAAGCUAAAUACUGGCCAGAGACCGAUAGCGCACAAGUAGAGUGAUCGAAAGAUGAAAAGCACUUUGGAAAGAGAGUUAAAAAGCACGUGAAAUUGUUGAAAGGGAAGCGCUUGCAGCCAGACUUGCCUGUAGUUGCUCAUCCGGGUUUUUACCCGGUGCACUCUUCUAUAGGCAGGCCAACAUCAGUUUGGGCGGUUGGAUAAAGGUCUCUGUCAUGUACCUCUCUUCGGGGAGAACUUAUAGGGGAGACGACAUGCAACCAGCCCGGACUGAGGUCCGCGCAUCUGCUAGGAUGCUGGCGUAAUGGCUGU